RNAcentral lists this ribosomal RNA (1453 nucleotides) under uncultured bacterium. RNAcentral's name for it is "16S ribosomal RNA". It matches the Rfam family "Bacterial small subunit ribosomal RNA". The record is from RNAcentral.
GAUGAACGCUAGCGGCAGGCCUCAUACAUGCAAGUCGAGGGGCAGCGGGACACUCCGGUGUUGCCGGCGACCGGCGGACGGGUGCGUAAUGCGCAUGCAAUCUACUUUACACUGGGGAAUAGCCUCCGGAAACGGGAAUUAAUACCCCAUAUAAUCUUAUUAGCGCAUGUUAAAAAGAUGAAAGCUCCGGCGGUGUAAAAUGAGCGUGCGUCCUAUUAGCUAGUUGGUGAGGUAAUGGCUCACCAAGGCUACGAUGGGUAGGGGUUCUUAGUGGAAGGUCCCCCACACUGGCACUGAGAUACGGGCCAGACUCCUAUGGGAGGCAGCAGUAGGGAAUAUUGGUCAAUGGGCGCAAGCCUGAACCAGCCAUGCCGCGUGCAGGAUGAAGGCUCUCUGAGUUGUAAACUGCUUUUGUACAGGAGCAAAAAAGUCCCUGCGGGGAUUCUUGAGCGUACUGUUAAGAAUAAGCACCGGCUAAUUCCGUGCCAGCAGCCGCGGUAAUACGGGAGGUGCAAGCGUUUAUCCGGUUUUUAUUGGGUUUAAAGGGUGCGUAGGCGGCUUUAUUAAGUCAGUUGGUGAAAUCCUAGUGCUUAACCGCUAGAACUGCGAUUGAAUACUAUUAGGCUUGAGUUACGAAGAGGUAAGCAGAAUUUAUGGUGUAGUAGUGAAAUGCUUAGAUAUCAUAAGGAAUACCAAUAGCGUAGGCAGCUUACUGGUCUUUAACUGACGCUGAGGCACGAAAGCGUGGGGAGCAAACAGGAUUAGAUACCCUGGUAGUCCACGCCGUAAACGAUGAUCACUCGAUAUACAUGAUACAUCAUGUGUGUCUAAGCGAAAGCGUUAAGUGAUCCACCUGGGGAGUAUACUCGCAAGGGUGAAACUCAAAGGAAUUGACGGGGGUCCGCACAAGCGGUGGAGUAUGUGGUUUAAUUCGAUAAUACGCGAGGAACCUUACCUGGGCUAGAAUGUGUUUUGCUACCUUGAGAAAUUGAGGGUUCCUUCGGGACGGAAUACAAGGUGCUGCAUGGCUGUCGUCAGCUCGUGCCGUGAGGUGUUGGGUUAAGUCCUAUAACGAGCGAAACCCUUUUACUUAAUUGCCAGCACGUAAUGGUGGGGACUUUAAGUAGACUGCCCGUGUAAGCGGGAGGAAGGAGAGGACGAGGUCAAGUCAUCAUGGCCUUUAUGCCCAGGGCUACACACGUACUACAAUGGCAUGUACAAAGGGAAGCUACUUGGCAACAAGAUGCAAAUCUCAAAAGCAUGUCUCAGUUCGGAUUGAGGUCUGCAAUUCGACCUCAUGAAGUUGGAAUCGCUAGUAAUCGCGUAUCAGCAAUGACGCGGUGAAUACGUUCUCGGACCUUGUACACACCGCCCAUCAAGCCAUGGGAGUUGGUAGAGCUUGAAGACAGUGGCCGUAAAAGGAGCUGUUUAGUGUUAGACCAGCGACUGGGGC